RNAcentral lists this ribosomal RNA (406 nucleotides) under uncultured bacterium. Its description in RNAcentral is "partial 16S ribosomal RNA". It matches the Rfam family "Bacterial small subunit ribosomal RNA", at positions 30 to 526 of the family's 1533-position model. The record is from RNAcentral.
AUUGAACGCUGGCGGCAGGCCUAACACAUGCAAGUCGAACGAGUGGCGGACGGGUGAGUAAUGUAUGGGAAACUGCCUGAAGGAGGGGGAUAACUACUGGAAACGGUAGCUAAUCCCGCAUACCAUCAGAUGUGCCAUGAUGGGAUUAGCUUUUUGGUGGGGUAACGGCUAACAAAGGCGACGAUCCCUAGCCGGUCUGAGAGGAUGACAGGCCACACUGGAACUGAGACACGGUCCAGACUCCUAGGGGAGGCAGCAGUGGGGAAUAUUGCACAAUGGGCGCAAGCCUGAUGAAGCCAUGCCGCGUGUAUGAAGAAGGCCUGCGGGUUGUAAAGUACUUUCAGCGGGGAGGCGUUACCCGCAGAGAAAGCACCGGCUAACUACGUGCCAGCCGCCGCGGUAAUAC